This 722-nucleotide ribosomal RNA is filed under the name uncultured Fusobacterium sp. RNAcentral's name for it is "bacterial SSU rRNA". It matches the Rfam family "Bacterial small subunit ribosomal RNA", at positions 28 to 776 of the family's 1533-position model. Lineage: Bacteria; Fusobacteriati; Fusobacteriota; Fusobacteriia; Fusobacteriales; Fusobacteriaceae. The record is from RNAcentral.
GAUGAACGCUGACAGAAUGCUUAACACAUGCAAGUCAACUUGAACUUCGGUUUGGGUGGCGGACGGGUGAGUAACGCGUAAAGAACUUGCCUCACAGCUAGGGACAACAUUUGGAAACGAAUGCUAAUACCUGAUAUUAUGAUUUUAGGGCAUCCUAGAAUUAUGAAAGCUAUAUGCGCUGUGAGAGAGCUUUGCGUCCCAUUAGCUAGUUGGAGAGGUAACGGCUCACCAAGGCGAUGAUGGGUAGCCGGCCUGAGAGGGUGAUCGGCCACAAGGGGACUGAGACACGGCCCUUACUCCUACGGGAGGCAGCAGUGGGGAAUAUUGGACAAUGGACCAAGAGUCUGAUCCAGCAAUUCUGUGUGCACGAUGAAGUUUUUCGGAAUGUAAAGUGCUUUCAGUUGGGAAGAAAAAAAUGACGGUACCAACAGAAGAAGUGACGGCUAAAUACGUGCCAGCAGCCGCGGUAAUACGUAUGUCACAAGCGUUAUCCGGAUUUAUUGGGCGUAAAGCGCGUCUAGGUGGUUAUAUAAGUCUGAUGUGAAAGUGCAGGGCUCAACUCUGUAUUGCGUUGGAAACUGUGUAACUAGAGUACUGGAGAGGUAAGCGGAACUACAAGUGUAGAGGUGAAAUUCGUAGAUAUUUGUAGGAAUGCCGAUGGGGAAGCCAGCUUACUGGACAGAUACUGACGCUGAAGCGCGAAAGCGUGGGUAGCAAACAGG